GUGCUUACUUUGCAGCAGAUAUACUGAAACUGAAAUGAUAAAGAGAAAAUAAAUAUGAACCCUAUGUGAAGAUGACAUGAAAAUUAAUGAAAUAUUCCACAUUUUA
Small nuclear RNA from Monodelphis domestica (gray short-tailed opossum), 106 nucleotides. Lineage: Eukaryota; Metazoa; Chordata; Mammalia; Didelphimorphia; Didelphidae. The record is from Ensembl.